Molecule: ribosomal RNA, 277 nt
Filed under: uncultured Bacteroides sp.
Lineage: Bacteria; Pseudomonadati; Bacteroidota; Bacteroidia; Bacteroidales; Bacteroidaceae
Description: partial 16S ribosomal RNA
Rfam family: Bacterial small subunit ribosomal RNA (bases 40-277)
Source: RNAcentral
AUCAGGAAGAAAGCUUGCUUUUGAUGGGCGUCGACCGGCGCACGGGUGAGUAACGCGUAUCCAACCUGCCUUACACUCUUGGACAGCCUUCUGAAAGGGAGAUUAAUACAAGAUGGCAUCAUGAGUCCGCAUGUUCACAUGAUUAAAGGUAUUCCGGUAGACGAUGGGGAUGCGUUCCAUUAGAUAGUAGGCGGGGUAACGGCCCACCAAGGCUACGAUCGGUAGGGGUUCUGAGAGGAAAGCCCCCACAUUGGAACUGAGACACGGUCCAAACUCC